CUCCGGCUCCAGAUCAUCCAGUGUGACAGAGUCUUAAUCCGUGGUUCUGCCCAUCAGCACAUUCAACGGACUUAGGAUUUCUCACCACGUGCCCUUAUUUUGGAAAACUGUUCAUUUCAAGACCACAGGCAAAGGGGAUACUAAGAAUAAUCGCAGAAUUAACAUCGGCAAGGAGAUAGAAGAGUGGCAGUGUGGAUUGCGACAGCCUGGGAAAUACAUUCCAAAGAAGAAUCUCAGAAUCGUGACCACUUCAAAAGUUCCCAAAUACAAUCCUUACUCUCCCAGAAUAUCAGUUGAGUGAAUACUGGGCUUUACAUUCAGGCAGUUAUCAAACAACGUUUGCCUAUGGUGGGCAGUUAUCAAACAACGUUGGCUCAUGGAAGAUGGUGCAUGUAGAUAGAUGCAGAUGACUUAAAAAUAAUCUAAUUCUGUGAAGAAAGCAGGCUGAUAUUUUAAAAAUGAAGAAAAAGAAGUUGUAAUGGGCUAAAUAAUGUGUCCAGAGUCAAGCAGCUCUAUGUAAGAAAGGGGCUGUCCCACUAAGGAGUCCUACAUUCCAACCCUCAUUUGCAGAGU
Molecule: long non-coding RNA, 573 nt
Organism: Homo sapiens (human)
Lineage: Eukaryota; Metazoa; Chordata; Mammalia; Primates; Hominidae
Source: Ensembl